Molecule: transfer RNA, 73 nt
Filed under: Clunio marinus
Lineage: Eukaryota; Metazoa; Arthropoda; Insecta; Diptera; Chironomidae
Source: Rfam by way of RNAcentral
GUCUUCGUAGUGUAGGGGUUAUCACGCGAGUCUAACACACUCGAGGUCCCCGGUUCGAGACCGGGCGAAGACA